This 253-nucleotide ribosomal RNA is filed under the name uncultured bacterium. Its description in RNAcentral is "partial 16S ribosomal RNA". It matches the Rfam family "Bacterial small subunit ribosomal RNA", at positions 524 to 776 of the family's 1533-position model. The record is from RNAcentral.
UACGUAGGGGGCAAGCGUUGUUCGGAAUUACUGGGCGUAAAGCGCGCGUAGGCGGUCUGAAAAGUCAGAUGUGAAAGCCCCGGGCUCAACUUGGGAACUGCAUUUGAUACUGUCAGACUAGAGUACAGAAGAGGUGACUGGAAUUCCCAGUGUAGCGGUGAAAUGCGUAGAUAUCAGGAGGAACACCGGUGGCGAAGGCGGCCCUCUGGACGGAUACUGACGCUGAGGCGCGAAAGCGUGGGGAUCAAACAGG